UUCGUAGGUGGCUAGCUAAGUCAGACGUGAAAUCCCUCAGCUUAACUGGGGAACUGCGUCUGAUACUGGCAAGCUUGAGUGCAGGAGAGGAACGCGGAAUUCCAGGUGUAGCGGUGAAAUGCGUAGAUAUCUGGAGGAACACCGGUGGCGAAGGCGGCGUUCUGGACUGCAACUGACACUGAGGAACGAAAGCCAGGGAGCAAACG
RNAcentral lists this ribosomal RNA (206 nucleotides) under uncultured bacterium. Its description in RNAcentral is "partial 16S ribosomal RNA". It matches the Rfam family "Bacterial small subunit ribosomal RNA", at positions 568 to 774 of the family's 1533-position model. The record is from RNAcentral.